GUAGGGAAUCUUCCGCAAUGGGCGAAAGCCUGACGGAGCAAUGCCGCGUGAGUGAUGAAGGUUUUCGGAUCGUAAAGCUCUGUUGCCAGGGAAGAACGCUUAGGAGAGUAACUGCUCCUGAGGUGACGGUACCUGAGAAGAAAGCCCCGGCUAACUACGUGCCAGCAGCCGCGGUAAUACGUAGGGGGCAAGCGUUGUCCGGAAUUAUUGGGCGUAAAGCGCGCGCAGGCGGUCAUGUAAGUCUGGUGUUUAAUCCCGGGGCUCAACCCCGGAUCGCACUGGAAACUGUGUGACUUGAGUGCAGAAGAGGAGAGUGGAAUUCCACGUGUAGCGGUGAAAUGCGUAGAGAUGUGGAGGAACACCAGUGGCGAAGGCGACUCUCUGGGCUGUAACUGACGCUGAGGCGCGAAAGCGUGGGGAGCAAACAGG
RNAcentral lists this ribosomal RNA (429 nucleotides) under uncultured bacterium. Its description in RNAcentral is "bacterial SSU rRNA". It matches the Rfam family "Bacterial small subunit ribosomal RNA", at positions 354 to 776 of the family's 1533-position model. The record is from RNAcentral.